This 88-nucleotide transfer RNA is filed under the name Escherichia coli. Its description in RNAcentral is "tRNA-Tyr". It matches the Rfam family "tRNA". Rfam says of the family: Transfer RNA (tRNA) molecules are approximately 80 nucleotides in length. Their secondary structure includes four short double-helical elements and three loops (D, anti-codon, and T loops). Lineage: Bacteria; Pseudomonadati; Pseudomonadota; Gammaproteobacteria; Enterobacterales; Enterobacteriaceae. RNAcentral also lists the same sequence under 10 other names. The record is from RNAcentral.
GGUGAGUUAAUUCCGUAGGGGUAGCGGGGCAGACUGUAAAUCUGUUAUCAUUGCGAUUCGGGUGGUUCGACUCCAUCACUCACCACCA